RNAcentral lists this small nuclear RNA (129 nucleotides) under Fragilariopsis cylindrus CCMP1102. RNAcentral's name for it is "U4 spliceosomal RNA". It matches the Rfam family "U4 spliceosomal RNA". From Rfam's summary of the family: U4 small nuclear RNA (U4 snRNA) is a component of the major U2-dependent spliceosome. Lineage: Eukaryota; Bacillariophyta; Bacillariophyceae; Bacillariales; Bacillariaceae. The record is from Rfam by way of RNAcentral.
UAUCUUGCACAAGAAUAGAACGCGAGCCGAUGAGGUUUUACCGAUGGACGCGUAUUUGCUGAUUGCAAACUAACAAGCUUUACUGACAUGUGCGAAAGCGCACGUCGAAUAUUUGCCACCCCUUGCGGG